This 254-nucleotide ribosomal RNA is filed under the name uncultured bacterium. RNAcentral describes it as "partial 16S ribosomal RNA". It matches the Rfam family "Bacterial small subunit ribosomal RNA", at positions 524 to 776 of the family's 1533-position model. The record is from RNAcentral.
UACGAAGGGGGCUAGCGUUGCUCGGAAUUACUGGGCGUAAAGGGCGCGUAGGCGGCCUGCUAAGUCGGAUGUGAAAUCCCCAGGCUUAACCUGGGAACUGCAUCCGAUACUGGAUGGCUUGAAUCCGGGAGAGGGAUGCAGAAUUCCAGGUGUAGCGGUGAAAUGCGUAGAUAUCUGGAGGAAUACCGGUGGCGAAGGCGGCAUCCUGGACCGGCAUUGACGCUGAGUGAGCGAAAGCCAGGGGAGCAAACGGG